Long non-coding RNA from Oncorhynchus kisutch (coho salmon), 755 nucleotides. RefSeq lists it as uncharacterized. Lineage: Eukaryota; Metazoa; Chordata; Actinopteri; Salmoniformes; Salmonidae. The transcript is spliced from 4 exons. The record is from RefSeq and is a predicted model, not a curated record.
AAAAUAAAUCCACUGAGUAAAUCUAACAUCCCGAUUCUCGAGCUGCAACACACAGACACGUACGGAGUUUGCGUCAAAGGACUUGGAAAUUAAUACAUCAUCAUUCGACGUAGCUACCUCGUAUCUGCCCCUCCUGUUUGUUGUGAUGCUGAGUUUGCCGACUGUCAGCUGUACGUUAACACAUGGACAAAUCCCUUUUCGACUCCGUGUGUUGUGGAAAGUGAGCUGAGCAGAUCAUUGCAGAUGUGUUCCAGGAUCCAACGCUACCUCAGACAGAAAAUCACCCCUGCCCAAAUGCGGCCACACGGUGGCAGUGUUUUUCCAGUCACACAGUAUGAAGGCUGAGGAUGUUAUGAGGCUGUACUAUGUCUGCACAGCCCCUCACUGUGGACACCGCUGGACAGAGUGAGGAGGAUGAAGAGGAGGUCUGAUGUAUGCAUCCACAGUCUCUGCUGUUGCCCAACAGUCCACCAUGUCUCACUGGGGUUCACUGUUGCUGAAAACAGAAAGACUGGUGGUUGUGUGGGCCUAAAAUACUCUGCCAAAUCAGAAACUUUUACAGGAAUAAUAACUUUGUGUGUUAGAUCUUCAUCAUCUUGUUGGAGUGUACGUACAGGAACUGCUAAGAUUUGUAUGGACCAUUUAAAUGCCAUUUCUUACCAUGUUGUGGAGGAACACCUGUUGGGACAUAAUUGUGUUAAUGUAUUAGCUCUAGUACUUUUUACAUGUAUUUGAAAUUAAAUAAGACAAACUUU